RNAcentral lists this ribosomal RNA (466 nucleotides) under uncultured bacterium. Its description in RNAcentral is "partial 16S ribosomal RNA". It matches the Rfam family "Bacterial small subunit ribosomal RNA", at positions 28 to 507 of the family's 1533-position model. The record is from RNAcentral.
GAUGAACGCUGGCGGCGUGCUUAACACAUGCCAGUCGAACGGAAAGGCCAGUGCUUGCACUGGUACUCGAGUGGCGAACGGGUGAGUAACACGUGGGUGAUCUGCCCUGUACUUCGGGAUAAGCUUGGGAAACUGGGUCUAAUACCGGAUAGGACAACUUUUUGGAUAUUGUUGUGGAAAGCUUUUGCGGUAUGGGAUGAGCUCGCGGCCUAUCAGCUUGUUGGUGGGGUAAUGGCCUACCAAGGCGUCGACGGGUAGCCGGCCUGAGAGGGUGUACGGCCACAUUGGGACUGAGAUACGGCCCAGACUCCUACGGGAGGCAGCAGUGGGGAAUAUUGCACAAUGGGCGCAAGCCUGAUGCAGCGACGCCGCGUGGGGGAUGAAGGCCUUCGGGUUGUAAACUCCUUUCGCUAGGGACGAAGCGCAAGUGACGGUACCUGGAGAAGAAGCACCGGCUAACUACGUG